UACGUAGGGGGCAAGCGUUGUCCGGAAUCAUUGGGCGUAAAGCGCACGUAGGCGGCCCGGUAAGUCCGUUGUGAAAGUCAAAGGCUCAACCUUUGAAUGCCAAUGGAUACUGCCGGGCUAGAGUCCGGAAGAGGCGAGUGGAAUUCCUGGUGUAGCGGUGGAAUGCGCAGAUACCAGGAGGAACACCAAUGGCGAAGGCAGCUCGCUGGGACGGUACUGACGCUGAGGUGCGAAAGCGUGGGGAGCGAACAGG
RNAcentral lists this ribosomal RNA (253 nucleotides) under uncultured bacterium. RNAcentral describes it as "partial 16S ribosomal RNA". It matches the Rfam family "Bacterial small subunit ribosomal RNA", at positions 524 to 776 of the family's 1533-position model. The record is from RNAcentral.